RNAcentral lists this transfer RNA (71 nucleotides) under Candidatus Staskawiczbacteria bacterium. RNAcentral's name for it is "tRNA-Pro". It matches the Rfam family "tRNA". Rfam says of the family: Transfer RNA (tRNA) molecules are approximately 80 nucleotides in length. Lineage: Bacteria; Candidatus Staskawicziibacteriota. The record is from RNAcentral.
CGGGCUGUAGUAUAGUAGCAGUAUGCACCCUUCGGGAGGGUGUGGCCUGGGUGCGAAUCCCAGCAGCCCGA